UCCUGCCAGUAGUCAUAUGCUUGUCUCAAAGAUUAAGCCAUGCAAGUCUAAGUAUAAUUGUUUUACGGUGAAACUGCGAAUGGCUCAUUAAAUCAGUUAUAGUUUAUUUGAUGCUAUAGACCGCAAGGUCACUACAUGGAUAUCUGUAGUAACAUAGAGCUAAUACAUGCAAUAUAGUCUGACUUUUUGGAAGGACUAGCACUUAUUAGAUAUUAAACCAGUCCCAGCAAUGGGUUUUAUGGUGAUUCAUAGUAACUGAACAAAUCACAUGGUCUCGUACCGGUGAUGUUUCACUCAAAUUUCUGCCCUAUCAACUAGAUGGUAGUAUAUAGGACUACCAUGGUUGUAACGGGUAACGGAGGAUUAGGGGUUUGAUUCCGGAGAAGGAGCAUGAGAAACGGCUACUAUUUCUAAGGAAAGCAGCAGGCG
This 429-nucleotide ribosomal RNA is filed under the name uncultured eukaryote. RNAcentral describes it as "SSU rRNA". It matches the Rfam family "Eukaryotic small subunit ribosomal RNA", at positions 12 to 434 of the family's 1831-position model. The record is from RNAcentral.